Long non-coding RNA from Glycine soja, 671 nucleotides. RefSeq lists it as uncharacterized. The transcript is spliced from 3 exons. NCBI's taxonomy places the organism in Eukaryota, Viridiplantae, Streptophyta, Magnoliopsida, Fabales, Fabaceae. The record is from RefSeq and is a predicted model, not a curated record.
ACUCCUUAUCAAAUCUGCUUUACUUGAAUUUAUCAAAUUUAUUCAUAGUCUAAUAGAAAAGAAUUUCAACUCUCGUUUCACGAGAAUUAGGAAGUUAUUUCCAGAGUUUGAUGUUGGUGAGUUCCUGUAUCCCUGUGCCACUUUUUAGCAUUUUCUACAGUGCGCACGGCUUCUUAUCCUUCACCAUCCCAUUCCUCUUCUCUUUCCCUGCCACUGAACCCAAACAAACAAGCGCUGUCGUUGGAUCUCACACAACCCGAUUCUCGUGCUUUUAUGGAUUUGCGUCGCCAAGAGAGUUUGUGAUUUUCAUCUUGCGAAGCGCCUUGCGGAUCUGUGAUCGGAAUACAGGAUCGUUUCAAUGGCUGGGAGUAACGAGCUUAACCCCAACGAUUCUAAGUCUCUUUAUGCUCAGGUUUCUCUUACUCAGUGUAUAUAAAGGUCGCCAUGAUAGUCCGGUUCAUAAUGCUCCAUUGGAAUUCUGAUGUGUAUGGAUUCCUCGAGCCACAGUCCAUUCAGAGAUCUGGACAAUCACAAUUUGAAUCCGAAAGUUACAUCAAGAGUUGGAUACAGAGUUCAAAACGAGAUGUUUACCUUGGAGCCUAUCUGAAUAGUGGACACUGGCAAAUGGUCGUCAUUCUACCUAAGGAAAACCUAGUUGUCUGGUUUUGUUC